CCGGAGGGUCCGUCGCGCGUUCAUGUAUAAGGGGCGUGAGGAAAGUCCGGGCAACACAGAGCACCAUAUUUGCUAACGGCAAGCUAUCGGCAACGGUAGAGGCAAUGUGACAGAAAAUUACCGCCCGCGGUCCUCGGAGCGCGGGUAAGGGUGAAAAGGCGAGGUAAGAGCUCACCGGACGCCACGGCGACAUGGCGUGCCGCACACCUUAUGGGUUGCAAGGUCAAGUAUACCGGCAGCCGGCAGGGCCUCCGGGUCCGCCGGACGGGUUGCUCGCCCGUAAUUGCCGGGGGGUAGACUGCGCACACCUGCUCCGGCAGGCAGAUAAAUGACGGACGGUGCCCUUCAACUCCCCGCCCCCCGCGGGCGAAAGUGGAAGGCGCCACAUAACCCGGCUUAUACUCCGACC
This 409-nucleotide RNase P RNA is filed under the name human gut metagenome. RNAcentral's name for it is "Bacterial RNase P class A". It matches the Rfam family "Bacterial RNase P class A". From Rfam's summary of the family: Ribonuclease P (RNase P) is a ubiquitous endoribonuclease, found in archaea, bacteria and eukarya as well as chloroplasts and mitochondria. The record is from RNAcentral.